GUGCACGCUGGCGGUAGGCCUAACACCUGCAAGUCGAACGGCAGCACAGUAAGAGCUUGCUCUUACGGGUGGCGAGUGGCGGACGGGUGAGGAAUACAUCGGAAUCUACUUUUUCGUGGGGGAUAACGUAGGGAAACUUACGCUAAUACCGCAUACGACCUACGGGUGAAAGCAGGGGAUCUUCGGACCUUGCGCGAUUGAAUGAGCCGAUGUCGGAUUAGCUAGUUGGCGGGGUAAAGGCCCACCAAGGCGACGAUCCGUAGCCGGUCUGAGAGGAUGAUCAGCCACACUGGAACUGAGACACGGUCCAGACUCCUACGGGAGGCAGCAGUGGGGAAUAUUGGACAAUGGGCGCAAGCCUGAUCCAGCCAUACCGCGUGGGUGAAGAAGGCCUUCGGGUUGUAAAGCCCUUUUGUUGGGAAAGAAAAGCAGCAGGUUAAUACCCCGCUGUUCUGACGGUACCCAAAGAAUAAGCACCGGCUAACUUCGUG
This 491-nucleotide ribosomal RNA is filed under the name uncultured bacterium. RNAcentral describes it as "partial 16S ribosomal RNA". It matches the Rfam family "Bacterial small subunit ribosomal RNA", at positions 29 to 507 of the family's 1533-position model. The record is from RNAcentral.